GAUGAAGAACGCAGCGAAAUGCGAUAAGUAAUGUGAAUUGCAGAAUUCAGUGAAUCAUCGAAUCUUUGAACGCACAUUGCGCCCGCCAGUAUUCUGGCGGGCAUGCCUGUCCGAGCGUCAUUUCAACCCUCGAACCCCUCCGGGGGGUCGGCGUUGGGGAUCGGCCCUGCCUCUGGCGGUGGCCGUCUCCGAAAUACAGUGGCGGGCUCGCCGCAGCCUCUCCUGCGCAGUAGUUUGCACACUCGCAUCGGGAGCGCGGCGCGUCCACAGCCGUUAAACACCCAACUUCUGAAAUGUUGACCUCGGAUCAGGUAGGAAUACCCGCUGAACUUAAGCAUAUCAAUAAGCGGAGGA
This 354-nucleotide unclassified non-coding RNA is filed under the name soil metagenome. Its description in RNAcentral is "partial contains 5.8S ribosomal RNA, internal transcribed spacer 2, and large subunit ribosomal RNA". The stretch from base 1 to 120 matches the Rfam family "5.8S ribosomal RNA", at positions 35 to 154 of the family's 154-position model. The record is from RNAcentral.